Molecule: ribosomal RNA, 253 nt
Filed under: uncultured bacterium
Lineage: Bacteria
Also listed under: 1 other name
Description: partial 16S ribosomal RNA
Rfam family: Bacterial small subunit ribosomal RNA
Source: RNAcentral
UACGGGGGGGGCAAGCGUUGUUCGGAAUUACUGGGCGUAAAGGGCUCGCAGGCGGCCGACUAAGUCAGACGUGAAAUCCCUUGGCUUAACCAAGGAAUGGCGUCUGAUACUGGACGGCUUGAAUCCGGGAGAGGGAUGUGGAAUUCCAGGUGUAGCGGUGAAAUGCGUAGAUAUCUGGAGGAACACCGGUGGCGAAGGCGGCAUCCUGGACCGGUAUUGACGCUGAGGAGCGAAAGCCAGGGGAGCAAACGGG